This 71-nucleotide transfer RNA is filed under the name Candidatus Woesearchaeota archaeon. RNAcentral describes it as "tRNA-Gly". It matches the Rfam family "tRNA". Rfam says of the family: Transfer RNA (tRNA) molecules are approximately 80 nucleotides in length. Their secondary structure includes four short double-helical elements and three loops (D, anti-codon, and T loops). Further hydrogen bonds mediate the characteristic L-shaped molecular structure. tRNAs have two regions of fundamental functional importance: the anti-codon, which is responsible for specific mRNA codon recognition, and the 3' end, to which the tRNAs corresponding amino acid is attached (by aminoacyl-tRNA synthetases). tRNAs cope with the degeneracy of the genetic code in two manners: having more than one tRNA (with a specific anti-codon) for a particular amino acid; and 'wobble' base-pairing, i.e. permitting non-standard base-pairing at the 3rd anti-codon position. Lineage: Archaea; Nanobdellati; Candidatus Woesearchaeota. The record is from RNAcentral.
GCGUUAGUAGUUGAAUGGCACAAUAUGGCCUUCCCAAGGCUAAGAUCGGGGUUCAAUUCCCCGCUAGCGCA